RNAcentral lists this ribosomal RNA (253 nucleotides) under uncultured bacterium. RNAcentral describes it as "partial 16S ribosomal RNA". It matches the Rfam family "Bacterial small subunit ribosomal RNA", at positions 524 to 776 of the family's 1533-position model. The record is from RNAcentral.
UACGAAGGGGGCUAGCGUUGCUCGGAAUCACUGGGCGUAAAGCGCGCGCGGGCGGCUGAUCAAGCCUGACGUGAAAGCCCCCGGCUCAACCGGGGAGGGUCGUCGGGGACUGGUUGGCUUGAGGGCGGUAGGGGCCGGUGGAAUUCCCGGUGUAGUGGUGAAAUGCGUAGAGAUCGGGAGGAACACCAGUGGCGAAGGCGGCCGGCUGGGCCGACCCUGACGCUGAGGCGCGAAGGCGUGGGGAGCGAACGGG